Molecule: ribosomal RNA, 496 nt
Filed under: uncultured bacterium
Lineage: Bacteria
Description: partial 16S ribosomal RNA
Rfam family: Bacterial small subunit ribosomal RNA
Source: RNAcentral
GAUGAACGCUGGCGGCGUGCCUAAUACAUGCAAGUCGAGCGAACGGACGAGAAGCUUGCUUCUCUGAUGUUAGCGGCGGACGGGUGAGUAACACGUGGAUAACCUACCUAUAAGACUGGGAUAACUUCGGGAAACCGGAGCUAAUACCGGAUGAUAUUUUGAACCGCAUGGUUCAAAAGUGAAAGACGGUCUUGCUGUCACUUAUAGAUGGAUCCGCGCUGCAUUAGCUAGUUGGUAGGUAACGGCUUACCAAGGCAACGAUGCAUAGCCGACCUGAGAGGGUGAUCUGCCACACUGGAACUGAGACACGGUCCAGACUCCUACGGGAGGCAGCAGUAGGGAAUCUUCCGCAAUGGGCGAAAGCCUGACGGAGCAACGCCGCGUGAGUGAUGAAGGUCUUCGGAUCGUAAAACUCUGUUAUUAGGGAAGAACAUAUGUGUAAGUAACUGUGCACAUCUUGACGGUACCUAAUCAGAAAGCCACGGCUAACUACGUG